CACCGGCGGCUCGAGUGGUGGCCACUUUUAUUGGGUCUAAAGCGUCCGUAGCCGGCUUGGCAAGUCCCCUGGGAAAUCUGGCGGCUUAACCGUCAGGCGUCCAGAGGAUACUGCCAGGCUUGGGACCGGGAGAGGUGAGAGGUACCUCAGGGGUAGGGGUGAAAUCUUGUGAUCCCUGAGGGACCACCAGUGGCGAAGGCGGCUUCCUGGACCGCGACUGACGCUCAAGCGCGAAAGCUGGGGGCACGAACCGG
Molecule: ribosomal RNA, 254 nt
Filed under: uncultured microorganism
Description: partial 16S ribosomal RNA
Rfam family: Archaeal small subunit ribosomal RNA
Source: RNAcentral